UACAAACUAGGGAAAUCAAAUUCAGAGAGAACAUCAGCUACUCAAUGUAGAAGGGAUGGGGUAAGAGAAGAGAACAAGCACUCCAACCCAGAUGUCCUACUAUCAAGUUUAUCUUCCAAUGUCUCUGGCUGACACAUGGAGCAGACAGCAUUGUGUGAUGACACUUCAGUGAUGGCAGGAGACAGACACUGGAGAGAGAGCCGGGUAAG
This 209-nucleotide long non-coding RNA is filed under the name Fukomys damarensis (Damara mole-rat). RNAcentral describes it as "lncRNA (ENSFDAG00000022873.1)". The record is from RNAcentral. Lineage: Eukaryota; Metazoa; Chordata; Mammalia; Rodentia; Bathyergidae.